RNAcentral lists this long non-coding RNA (327 nucleotides) under Lactuca sativa (garden lettuce). RNAcentral's name for it is "long non-coding RNA (LSAT_LNC001686)". The record is from RNAcentral. Lineage: Eukaryota; Viridiplantae; Streptophyta; Magnoliopsida; Asterales; Asteraceae.
ACAGCUCUGUUGACCCAGCCAUCAACAAAGGUGCCGCUAGGUGGAAGAUCAGCUGGUGGUCCGGUGGAGGGACCUGGCGAUGGAGCACCGGAAGGUCCACCCGGUGAUGGAGCUGUAGUAGGGGAUACAGAAGAAGGUGCAGGAGAGGGUACAGCCAUUGGAGAUGGUGAAGGAGAAGGAGAAGGAGAUGGAACCGGUGUAGGAGCGGGAGAUGGUGGUGUGAUGACGGGGGCAGGUGUAGGGGCGGCGGUUGGAGAGACUGUAGGGGUGGCGGUGGGAGCUUGUGCUGUGCAUGAGCUGAUGAAGACAGCAAUGAGCAUCAAGGAC